AGGAACAGAAAAAAAUCUUUUUUAUAGUCAUGAAAUAACUUUUUGUGAAAGGAUUUAGUGCUGAAUAACCACUGAAUCUGUCCUUUUGGGAUCAGGUCCUAAUACCAUUAUUUCACAUGAAAUAAAGCAAAAACGGACACAAUAAGUGCUCACAUGAACUGAUAAGCCUAUUGCCUUGGCAAAUAUCCUAUCUUGUACAGAAAAAUGCUGCUUCUUAAGGAAAUAUAGGAGAAAUGUAACUAAACUGGGAGGAAUGUGUGAUGUUACAAGGGAAGAAGACAGAAAAAGGAGUACCUAAAAUAGUCUUCCACCUAAUGAGACAGUAUCUGAGCAAAUGGUUACAGUAAAUGAACAGCCCACUGCAAAAAAAUGAAGACAACUCAUCAUUAGAUACUUGUGUUUAAUGCAAUAAAAUUUUCCUCCACAGUAAUUUGGAUAAUGACAAGUAUGCAAGGAUUUCUAGCUAUCUGCAGAAUGAGUGCUUCCUGCUUGCAUAAAGCCAAGACAGAAUUCUAGUAACAAAUGAAUCCAAGCUUACAGAGUUUACUUUCUGGAAGACAGGAGCUCAGACCUUAGAGUUAACAGUGUUUUCUCCAGUCCAUAUACAUAAAUACAAGGUAGAAGGAGGAGAUCCAAAUGGAUAUAAUCAUGUUUGGAAGACAAUGUAAUUUAGGCAUGAUUUUUUCAUAAAACAUAUCUUAGGAUAAAGAAAAAUGUAUAAGACAAUACAUACAGGUAAACCAAGAUCAAACUUGUGCACUAAGACAGUGGAGAGACUUUGAGACUUUCUGUCUUUCUGUCACCUUCUAGUGUAAGGUGUCCCUGCCCGUGGUAGGGGAUCUGGAACAAGAUAAUCUUUAAGGUCCCUUCCAACCCAAACCAUUCUGUGAUUCUAUGAGAGGAACAGGGACACCCAAUAUCCAUCAUACACAGUAGUCCAAGGUAAAGCAUCCUACAGCACAGGGAGUCACACUGACAGAUACACAGAGAGCAGCAGCAAGCAGAAGAGAUGCCUACUGGGCCUCCAACUACACAGCUUUGUUUCCAACAGUGACUGGUCAGAUAUGGUCUAAAGGCAGGUCACUGACUGUGUCACAGAAGUAGCUAAAAAAAAAAGACAGCAUGGGACUAUCACUGAUACUGACAUGCACAUGCCAGAGGAAGACAGCAAACUACCAGAAAGCAGAGCAGGUGAGCAGGCAACCUCUCUUACCACUCCUGUCUUCUGCUCUCCAGCUACUGUCUGGUAAGAUUUGCUACAGCCUUUUUCAUGUGCAGCAUGUGCCAGCUGGCUCUCCAACACAUACUGACCUACUGGCCAGCCAUCAAUACUGUGAAACUCAUUAGAACUUUCACACUUUGACCUCUGAAAAGUUCAGUUAAAACUAAAAAAGGUAAAGAGAGGAAGGGAUGAAAAAACAAGGAAACAAGAUGAGAAAAGAAAGGGAAUAAUAAUACAGCCAGGCAUGCACCUGUACUCCAGAGUCAAUCCUUCCCAAAUGCUCUUCUACAAAAAUGUGUAGAAAAAUGAAGUCCUGUAAUUUGGUAUUUCUAGCACUAAAUGAUACAUCCAAACAAUCUACUGCACUGAUGCCCUGUAUAUCCACAUUUUAUACUUGUAUGCCAAGGCAGGUUACAACUGUAAGGUGAGGCUGUGAUGAAGUGGAACCAUUCAUUUGUAAAAUACAGUCUCUAACCAAUUACACAGUACUGUCCAUGGCACUUUUAAAGAGUCAGGUUGGGUUGUUAGCACUUUUACUGAACUGGAGAAAGGAUGUAAAAGACUUUUUCUAUAAAUGCAAUUGACAUUGUAUUUUUCCUCUUUCCAUUCUUACAGAAUUUGGAAUAUGCCUACUUGCACCAAAUGAGGCAGAAAUGAUAGCACUUAUUUAUUGAGUAUUUAAGUAAUUUUCUGUUUCCUUUUUGCAGGAGACACACAGCUUUCCCAAGCCUUAAAAAAAGAUACUAUACCUACAUUUUGGUCUGCAAUUUGUCCUAGAAGUACUUCUAGAAUGGUCUUAACUAUGAUAUCAGUUCAAUAAAAAUAGUACUUUGACCUCAGCUGAUUUUGUUGCUUGCACGUGGGUAAUGGAAGUACAAAAUUAAGGGCUGAAAAUUCUCCCUAAUUUUCGGCUUC
This is a non-coding RNA of Zonotrichia albicollis (white-throated sparrow), 2137 nucleotides long. The record is from RefSeq and is a predicted model, not a curated record. NCBI's taxonomy places the organism in Eukaryota, Metazoa, Chordata, Aves, Passeriformes, Passerellidae.